CCACCCGUGUCCCUAGUUGGUAGAGUAUGAGGCUCUUAAUCUCAGAGUCAUGGGUUUGAGCCCCACGUUGGGUGAA
Podarcis lilfordi (Lilford's wall lizard) is the source of this 76-nucleotide non-coding RNA. The record is from the annotation of a GenBank genome assembly. NCBI's taxonomy places the organism in Eukaryota, Metazoa, Chordata, Lepidosauria, Squamata, Lacertidae.